GUAGUAUUCCCUCCGUCCCAAAAUUCUUGUCUUACAUUUGUUUAGAGGCGGAUGUAUCUAACACUAAAAUGUAACUAGAUACAUCCGUAUUUAGACAAAUUUAAGACAAGAAUUUUGGGAUGGAGGGAGUACAAA
This is a non-coding RNA of Triticum urartu, 135 nucleotides long. NCBI's taxonomy places the organism in Eukaryota, Viridiplantae, Streptophyta, Magnoliopsida, Poales, Poaceae. The record is from Rfam.